RNAcentral lists this ribosomal RNA (460 nucleotides) under uncultured bacterium. Its description in RNAcentral is "partial 16S ribosomal RNA". It matches the Rfam family "Bacterial small subunit ribosomal RNA", at positions 338 to 795 of the family's 1533-position model. The record is from RNAcentral.
CCUACGGGGAGCAGCAGUGAGGAAUAUUGGUCAAUGGACGCAAGUCUGAACCAGCCAUGCCGCGUGCAGGAAGACGGCUCUAUGAGUUGUAAACUGCUUUUGUACGAGGGUAAACGCAGAUACGCGUAUCUGUCGGAAAGUCUCGUACGAAUAAGGAUGGGCUAACGCCGUGCCAGCAGCCGCGGUAAUACGGAGGAUUCAAGCGUUAUCAGGAUUUAAUGGGUUUAAAGGUUGCGUAGGCGGUCGGAUAAGUUAGAGGUGAAAGCCCUAGGCUAAACUUCGCAAUUGCCUGUGAUACUGUUCGGCUAGAGAGGAGUUGCGGUAGGCGGAAUGUAUGGUGUAGCGGUGAAAUGCUUAGAGAUCAUACAGAACACCGAUUGCGAAGGCAGCUUACCAAGCUACUUCUGACGUUGAGGCACGAAAGCGUGGGGAGCAAACAGGAUUAGAUACCCCAGUAGUC